CCCUGAUCUGCCUCCUUGUCAGUCUCAGCCAAUCCUAUGGGGAAGCAUUGUUAUUGGAUCAGGCUACCACUUCUGAUGAGGUCAGCAGACUGCUUGUUUUUCUGAGUCUAACAGCAUGCAGAGUUACAGCUUCAGGCUUGAAUACAGUAAGAUUUGUACUAUAUUUAUGGAGGCAUGAGGGGCCCAUGGGGGUAGAUGGUGGUUUUAACACUACAUGUUUGUGUUCCUGACCCUAUAGUGAUCCUUUAAUGAAUUAAUUUGGGGUAAGGUAAAAGAGCGACAUCAUCUUUAAUUACCUAAAUGUAUAGACAAAUAUAAACUAUUAUAAAUACAGUGCCUACAAUAAAUAAGCCGCUUUUUAUGUGUAUUUUGUUCAGUCGCCACGGCCUGGCAGAUAAGGUUAAAAUCAUGGUUUAAAAGCUGAAUUUGACUCCCUCCAACACAUAUGCUUCCAAACAUUAAGCCUGCCACAUUCUCAAAUAAGUGGUAGCUUGGUGGGAUUUGGGGUUACAAGUGAAGGAAACCCUCACCCAAAAAAUAAAGGUUUAACAAAUAAGAGGUCCCUUAUGGUUAAUACCACGCAGGGUAUUAACAAAGUAUCAUCAUUAAAAUACUUCUAGAAUGGAAAUGCAUCGCAGCGAAGGAGAAAUAAAAUGUGUACACAUUUUUUUUAUCACCUCUGCCUUUUAGUGUGUUUUUUUUUUUCACUUUGCGACUGGUCUGUGGGCUAAUUAACAAGCACAGG
Pelobates cultripes (western spadefoot toad) is the source of this 745-nucleotide non-coding RNA. NCBI's taxonomy places the organism in Eukaryota, Metazoa, Chordata, Amphibia, Anura, Pelobatidae. The record is from the annotation of a GenBank genome assembly.